GAAGAGAAGAACCUGAACAAAGAAGACGAGGACCAAAUUUGACUCGAGAAAUCCGUGCAACACUUAUUGACCAUGUUAUCAACCAUGGACUGACACUGAUGGAAGCUGGACAAAGAGUUCAACCAAAUCUCAGCAGAAAUACUGUUGCGUCAGUAAUUCGGACAUUUCAUCGAGAAAACAGGAUUGAGGGUCGAGGACACCAAGGUGGAAGGGGCCCUAUGUUUACUCGUGCACAAGAGGCCGCAAUUGUGAACAUGGUUUUGGCCAAUAAUUGUAUCAGGCUACGAGAAAUCCAAGCCAAUAUCAUCAAUGAUGACAAUAUUUUCAAUAACAUCCAACGAGUCUCUCUGUCAACAUUAGGUCGAAUCCUAAAGAAAAAUCAAAUAUACAUGAAGCAACUGUAUCGGGUACCAUUUGACAGAAAUUCAGAGAGAGUGAAACAUCUGCGCAAUGAGUAUGUGGAGAGAGUCUUGCAAAUGGAUGCUGCUGAAAUUCAACAUGAAUUUAUAUAUGUGGAUGAGGCUGGAUUUAACCUUGCAAAAACAAGAAGAAGAGGGAGAAAUGUAAUAGGGCACAGGGCAAUCACUAAUGUGCCAGGGCAACGAGGGGGUAACAUCACCCUUUGCGCUGCUAUCACACAAAAUGGGGUCCUCCACCACCAUGCAAAUCUGGGACCCUAUAAUGCAAAUCUGAUACUUGCAUUUCUUGACCGAUUGCUUGAGAUUGUCAAAUUGACAGCUUGUAAAUGUAGUCAGUGUGACCUAUGUAUGUCAAUACAGCUACUGCUAUUAAUACUUAGCUAGUGUUAUUCGGAUGUGCACCAAGUAGUAGGCACACUGUCAAAAUUUCUUCCGGAAUUUUCUAGUGUUUCUCACACUGCCCAUUACUGCAGCUCCUCUGCCUGAAACACUCUGAGCUCUUGGCCUCCUUCAUGAAAA
Molecule: long non-coding RNA, 938 nt
Organism: Perca fluviatilis (European perch)
Lineage: Eukaryota; Metazoa; Chordata; Actinopteri; Perciformes; Percidae
Exons: 3
Source: RefSeq, a predicted model, not a curated record